UGGGGAAUAUUGGACAAUGGGGGCAACCCUGAUCCAGCAAUGCCGCGUGUGUGAAGAAGGCCUGAGGGUUGUAAAGCACUUUCGUUGGGGAGGAAGUAUUGUUGUUUAAGAGAUGACAGUAUUGACGUUACCCAAAUAAGCAGCACCGGCAAACUCCGUGCCAGCAGCCGCGGUAAUACGGAGGGUGCAAGCGUUAAUCGGAAUUACUGGGCGUAAAGCGCACGUAGGUGGUUAUUUAAGUUGGCUGUGAAAGACCCGGGCUUAACCUGGGGGUGUCGGUCAAUACUGAAUGACUAGAGUACAGUAGAGGGGUGUGGAAUUUCCGGUGUAGCGGUGAAAUGCGUAGAGAUCGGAAGGAACACCAGUGGCGAAGGCGGCACCCUGGACUGAUACUGACACU
Molecule: ribosomal RNA, 400 nt
Filed under: uncultured bacterium
Lineage: Bacteria
Description: bacterial SSU rRNA
Rfam family: Bacterial small subunit ribosomal RNA
Source: RNAcentral